RNAcentral lists this non-coding RNA (26 nucleotides) under Mus musculus (house mouse). Lineage: Eukaryota; Metazoa; Chordata; Mammalia; Rodentia; Muridae. The record is from RNAcentral.
UAGACAGCAGGAGAAAAGGAAACUUA